CGACUAAUUGCCGACUAUGCCUA
Molecule: non-coding RNA, 23 nt
Filed under: Arabidopsis thaliana (thale cress)
Lineage: Eukaryota; Viridiplantae; Streptophyta; Magnoliopsida; Brassicales; Brassicaceae
Source: RNAcentral